This 1871-nucleotide long non-coding RNA is filed under the name Gossypium barbadense (sea-island cotton). RNAcentral's name for it is "long non-coding RNA (GBAR_LNC003438)". The record is from RNAcentral. Lineage: Eukaryota; Viridiplantae; Streptophyta; Magnoliopsida; Malvales; Malvaceae.
AAUAACCCAUCAGCGACCAAACACUCGGAUCUUGAGCGUGUGCGGGUCGGGUCAUCGGGCUGUAGCCUUGAACACAGUCGUUUUGAGGCCAUUAAUUUGGCCUAAAACGGUGACGUCUGAAGGGCCCUUAUGGUCACCGCAAGAAACCCUAGAAGGGUCUGCAGCCAUUUCUAAAAGCAAGAAAGAAAAAAAAACUAGGGUGCCCCCAACCUUUUUUCGUUUAACAACCCUUCGAAGGUCGGUUCUCCUGCCUCUCCUUUCGAUUCGUUCGAGAGUCAAUCAAGGCUUCAUCGAACCUAAAGACUCGUGUGUCUUGCUCACGAACCCCGAAUCGCCACUUGGUUUCGAUCGUGGCGAAACAAGCGAGGAUUCGAAGGCAUCAAACGCGGGUAAAUUUCGUUUCCUUUUUCUUACUACAUUCGAUCAAGAAAAAAAGGUAAAUAAGAGAGGAAGAGAGAAAUAAGGGAAGAAAAUUGUGAAUGAAUUACCUUGUUUGUUUUCUUUCUAUUCUGGUUGUUUUUUCUUUUGUGUAUAUUGCCUUUAUAUGUAAGAAGGGAACCCCUUUACAAUCAAAAUCAAUAGGCUUUAUAGCCGAAUGUUAAAAAAUAAAAAAUAAAAAAUAAAAAUAAAAAUACAAUUUUUCUUUCUUUGUUUUUUUCCUUGUUUCGUUUGUUCUCUUUCAUAGGUACGGAGUACGGGGCUGUACGUUGUCGUGUGUACGGGAGUGGGCUGGCGUACGGGAGCUGGUGUGUCGUACGGUGCGAGGGUGUGGCUGCUGGAGGGUACGGAGGCUGGGGCUGCUGUCCGGUUGUGGCGCAACUGCUGCUAGGGCUAGGCUUUGCCAAAAUUUGUUUAGUAUUUGGGCCGUUUGGGCUCAUUUUGGGUAUUGGGUUAGUCUUUGGGUCAUGGGAUUGGUUUUUGUAAAUGGGCUAUGGGCCAUUGUAGUAAUUUUUUUUGACUGAUGGACUGUAAGAGGACAUUUAAUUAAUUAUUGGUUUUUUUUGUUUCUUUAUUUUGUAUUUUGGCUUUGACGUGGGUCCGUGCAAAUUGGCCUGUUUACAGUUAUUAUUUAAAGACAUUCUUGUAUAUCAUAUUGUUUUAAAAUUUUGUAAAUAUUUAAUUUAACUACCCUUAUAUAUUAUUAUACAUGUAUAGUUUAUGAUAAAAUUAGUUUUAUUCUAUAUACAUUAUUAAUUCCAUGUUAUUUUAUGUAUAUAAUUUCUUUCAAAUCUAUUUAUAUAUGUUUCCUUUCCAACCUAUUAUGUAUAUAGUUUAUUCUUUAACAACAUAUUUUAUUAUAUUUUUUAUUUAAAAUUCUUUCAUGUACUAUUGCCCCAUUAUAUAUUGUUUACGUAUUUUUUUAUUAUAUGUAUAUUAUCAACCUUAAAUAGACAUAUUUUGUUUUUAAAAUAUUUUGUAUAUUAUUUUCUCUAAACUUAUUCUUUCAUAAUAUUUAUUUUAAUAAUCAUUUAUAUUAUUAGUGUAACAGGCCUAUUUUGCUCGGCCCGAGCCCAAACCAGUAAAAACAAAAAACAAAAAUUAAGUCCCAAAAUGUCGAUUUACAAAAUUAAAUCAGCCCAAAUUUUCAAAACCCAAUUACAAACCCAAUAACCUAAACCCCUCACCCAAUUUUUUGAUGUCCCGAUAGGCCUAAAACUCAAGCCAAUUUUGGCAAACCAGGAAACCCUAGUUUCCCCCUGGCUCCGUACCCCUCCCACGUGCUUCGUCAACACGUCCAACGCCCGAGGCUCGGCUCCCCUUGUCCUGUUGCACCAAAACGACCAUCUACAGCCCCGUUGACCCUUGGUGCGCCUGCAAAAGAAAGCAAAAAAGGAAACCAUAAAGACAACAGAGCAAAGGGUAAGAGACAG